RNAcentral lists this non-coding RNA (22 nucleotides) under Arabidopsis thaliana (thale cress). Lineage: Eukaryota; Viridiplantae; Streptophyta; Magnoliopsida; Brassicales; Brassicaceae. The record is from RNAcentral.
UGGGAUUUAUUUACAAUGGUUG